This is a long non-coding RNA of Cotesia glomerata, 1493 nucleotides long. RefSeq lists it as uncharacterized. NCBI's taxonomy places the organism in Eukaryota, Metazoa, Arthropoda, Insecta, Hymenoptera, Braconidae. The transcript has 3 exons. The record is from RefSeq and is a predicted model, not a curated record.
UAAACUUCUAUAAGUCUCCAAGCGUCCACAGUGAAAAUUUUUUCAUUUCUAAAUUAUAUUUAUAAUUGUUAUCUAUAACUGUAGAAGUAAAGUUGUCUGGAAAUGUUUUUAUUUCAAAUUCUCUAAUCGAAUAACAUGAGUUUAAUGCUUUAAAAACCGUUUCAGUAUUUACAAACCAAUUUAUCAUUUUAUCACAUUAUCAGCAACUUAUCAUGCAAUGAUUUCUUCAUGAAUGGUUUGAUUAAUUUUUUUUUUCACUUAAUAGACCAAUAUCAGUAUUUUUGUGCCUCUUGGUCUUCCUCGUCUUUCAUAGCAGGCUGAAUUGUAAUUUUUUACAAAGUUUUAAAUUUUUUGUUAACAUUAAUCCAGCAACGGGUUAGUAAAUCAUGUGGAGGGUCCUGGAAAAGGUAAUUUCUUAAUACCUUCUACAUCAGUAUUUUAUUUAUAUAUUACUUAUGUUCGAAAGUAAAUUCAAAUUUUCUUAAUCAGUUGUGAAAGACGAUCGUGAAGCAGAUAAGAAUGAAGAAGAAAAAGAUGUUUUUUUUGUCUUUCAUACUGCUGUUGCUGCUACUACUUCUACAACUAUGAAGCCUUUGGCUGGUGACUUUUCGGUUAAUUUUUUUGAUUCGCUUGAUGAAAUGAUGUAUUCAGGUGCUGUGGUAUCAAUAUUUACCGUUUGAAAAAUCCGUUGCGUCUUGAAAUAAUAUUCUCUUCUCUAACGCUCCAAAUAUAAGUCUUCAUCAUAACGAUUGAAAUUAUUUAAUCCCUUGACAGCAAAUAUGUGUCUGUAAUAAUUAAUAAUAAUUAAAAUUAACCACUAGUGCGUAUCAGGUUUGCUCUUAAUCCUACAGUUAAUUUAUUUAUUUCUUUUUAAUAAACCCAACAGCUUUGAAGACGGGAAUAAGGGGGGGGGGCACUUAUAGUACAAAAAUUUAACAAGAUUUAAGAAAAAGAAUAAGAAUGUAAUUUUCACUUGAGUGGUUUGCGAACAGGCUCAUACAUCUACUUGUUCUCUCGCAAGCACAAUGAAAAUUUUCUGCUAUGAAUCGAGGACACGAUUUACAUCAUGCUGCAACCUAGAGCCAUGGAGAGGUUAAUGAACAACUUAAUCUAGGCGAGAAUAAUCAUCGAUGAAGACCCGGUGAGUGGUGGACCGACUGGUCCCUACAUUCAGUUUGAGCAGCUAAAAAUUUUCCAAAAGCACGUGAAGAAGCUGUUUGACAGUGAUAAGAUGUAUCAAUGGCUCUCAUGUUCUAGGUCUAGUCAAGUGUCUAAUAUCUACGCCUAAGUACGUAGAAAUUUAUCAAGCUUUUGGCUGCACGCCUCCUUGCGUUGGACACACUGCUGAUUCUCAACACUAAUGACAAAAAAUUGUCCAAAAUGCAGAGGGAUAUCAGGGUUUUGACUUCUAUCGGGAACAGGGAAUUUUUUUUUAGCUUUGAUGUAUUAGGGUAAAAGACCCCAUUAGUGGCGGGGAUCCCAUUACUGACACU